Molecule: ribosomal RNA, 868 nt
Filed under: Clonostachys byssicola
Lineage: Eukaryota; Fungi; Ascomycota; Sordariomycetes; Hypocreales; Bionectriaceae
Description: eukaryotic LSU rRNA
Rfam family: Eukaryotic large subunit ribosomal RNA
Source: RNAcentral
CGGAGGAAAAGAAACCAACAGGGAUUGCCCUAGUAACGGCGAGUGAAGCGGCAACAGCUCAAAUUUGAAAUCUGGCGCAAGCCCGAGUUGUAAUUUGUAGAGGAUGUUUCUGGCGACGUGCCUUCCGAGUUCCCUGGAACGGGACGCCAUAGAGGGUGAGAGCCCCGUACGGUUGGAUGCCUAGCCUCUGUGAAACUCCUUCGACGAGUCGAGUAGUUUGGGAAUGCUGCUCUAAAUGGGAGGUAUACGUCUUCUAAAGCUAAAUACCGGCCAGAGACCGAUAGCGCACAAGUAGAGUGAUCGAAAGAUGAAAAGCACUUUGAAAAGAGGGUUAAAAAGUACGUGAAAUUGUUGAAAGGGAAGCGUUCAUGACCAGACUUGAGCAGGUUGAUCAUCCGUGGUUCUCCGCGGUGCACUCUGCCUGCUCAGGCCAGCAUCAGUUCGUUCCGGGGGAUAAAGGCUCUGGGAAUGUGGCUCCCUCGGGAGUGUUAUAGCCCACUGCGUAAUACCCUGGGAUGGACUGAGGUUCGCGCUCUGCAAGGAUGCUGGCGUAAUGGUCAUCAACGACCCGUCUUGAAACACGGACCAAGGAGUCGUCUUCGUAUGCGAGUGUUCGGGUGUCAAACCCCUACGCGUAAUGAAAGUGAACGUAGGAGAGAGCUUCGGCGCAUCUCCGACCGAUCCUGAUGUUCUCGGAUGGAUUUGAGUAAGAGCAUACGGGGCCGGACCCGAAAGAAGGUGAACUAUGCCUGUAUAGGGUGAAGCCAGAGGAAACUCUGGUGGAGGCUCGCAGCGGUUCUGACGUGCAAAUCGAUCGUCAAAUAUGGGCAUGGGGGCGAAAGACUAAUCGAACCUUCUAGUAGCUGGU